GAUGAACGCUGGCGGCGUGCUUAACACAUGCAAGUCGAACGGAGAGCGUAUGACAGAGGAUUCGUCCAAUGGAUUACGUUUCUUAGUGGCGGACGGGUGAGUAACGCGUGAGGAACCUGCCUCGGAGUGGGGAAUAACGCAACGAAAGCUGUGCUAAUACCGCAUGAUGCAGCUGGGUCGCAUGACUCUGGCUGCCAAAGAUUUAUCGCUCUGAGAUGGCCUCGCGUCUGAUUAGCUGGUUGGCGGGGUAACGGCCCACCAAGGCGACGAUCAGUAGCCGGACUGAGAGGUUGGCCGGCCACAUUGGGACUGAGACACGGCCCAGACUCCUACGGGAGGCAGCAGUGGGGAAUAUUGGGCAAUGGGCGCAAGCCUGACCCAGCAACGCCGCGUGAAGGAAGAAGGCCCUCGGGUUGUAAACUUCUUUUGUCAGGGACGAAGCAAGUGACGGUACCUGACGAAUAAGCCACGGCUAACUACGUGCCAG
This 487-nucleotide ribosomal RNA is filed under the name uncultured bacterium. RNAcentral's name for it is "bacterial SSU rRNA". It matches the Rfam family "Bacterial small subunit ribosomal RNA", at positions 28 to 511 of the family's 1533-position model. The record is from RNAcentral.